AGCAGCAAUGAUAUCAGUGAUAUUUCCAACCAAAUGAACUAUUCAGGAUCACUGUUUCGUGACGCUAACUAUGGCAAAGGCUCCCAGGAAAGUUUAUCUAUAAUUAAUCCCUACAUGUUUGAACCUGAGGCGUCAGAUGACGAUGAUUUACUCAGCACAGCAGAUGCUGGUGAUGAGGCUGGUUGGGAGCUCGACACGUCACGAAAGAAAGAACGGCUUUCAAAGCUGUCGUCUGUUAGGACUCCCUGAUUGCAGGCUGGAGGCUAGACAGAACGACGAUAGCUGCGACCCAUCACAAUAAGCAGCCUUCAUAAACCUGUUUGUCGUUGCCGCUUGUCGACAGACCAACACUUUUGGCAUCCCUGAUUCCCCGUGCCUGAUCCCCAGCUGUACAGUCGCCUGAUUGACGCGUGCACGUGCGCUGCCCCGAGCCUCGUGCGCCCUUAAAUAAACGUUACAUACUACACUGAAAAAAAUAACUGGUAGAUUUACUUGAUAAAAUUAUUGAAACAAUUUGCACU
Corythoichthys intestinalis (scribbled pipefish) is the source of this 521-nucleotide long non-coding RNA. RefSeq lists it as uncharacterized. The record is from RefSeq and is a predicted model, not a curated record. NCBI's taxonomy places the organism in Eukaryota, Metazoa, Chordata, Actinopteri, Syngnathiformes, Syngnathidae. The transcript has 3 exons.